RNAcentral lists this unclassified non-coding RNA (344 nucleotides) under soil metagenome. RNAcentral describes it as "partial contains 5.8S ribosomal RNA, internal transcribed spacer 2, and large subunit ribosomal RNA". The stretch from base 1 to 120 matches the Rfam family "5.8S ribosomal RNA", at positions 35 to 154 of the family's 154-position model. The record is from RNAcentral.
GAUGAAGAACGUAGCGAAAUGCGAUAAGUAAUGCGAAUUGCAGAAUUCAGUGAAUCAUCGAAUCUUUGAACGCACAUUGCGCCCUUUGGUAUUCCAAAGGGCAUGCCUGUUCGAGCGUCAUUUGUACCCUCAAGCUUUGCUUGGUGUUGGGCGUUUUUGUCUUUGGCCCGCCAAAGACUCGCCUUAAAAUGAUUGGCAGCCGGCCUACUGGUUUCGCAGCGCAGCACAUUUUUGCGCUUGCAAUCAGCAAAAGAGGACGGCAAUCCAUCAAGACUCCUUCUCACGUUUGACCUCGGAUCAGGUAGGGAUACCCGCUGAACUUAAGCAUAUCAAUAAGCGGAGGA